RNAcentral lists this ribosomal RNA (423 nucleotides) under uncultured Gammaproteobacteria bacterium. RNAcentral's name for it is "bacterial SSU rRNA". It matches the Rfam family "Bacterial small subunit ribosomal RNA", at positions 9 to 429 of the family's 1533-position model. The record is from RNAcentral. Lineage: Bacteria; Pseudomonadati; Pseudomonadota; Gammaproteobacteria.
GAGUUUGAUCCUGGCUCAGAGUGAACGCUGGCGGCAGGCCUAACACAUGCAAGUCGAACGGCAGCGCAGCAGUAGCAAUACUGUGGGCGGCGAGUGGCGGACGGGUGAGGAAUACAUCGGAAUCUACCUCGUCGUGGGGGAUAACGUAGGGAAACUUACGCUAAUACCGCAUACGAACUACGGUUGAAAGCGGCGGACCGCAAGGCGUCGCGCGAUUGGAUGAGCCGAUGUCCGAUUAGCUAGUUGGCGGGGUAAAGGCCCACCAAGGCGACGAUCGGUAGCUGGUCUGAGAGGAUGAUCAGCCACACUGGAACUGAGACACGGUCCAGACUCCUACGGGAGGCAGCAGUGGGGAAUAUUGGACAAUGGGCGCAAGCCUGAUCCAGCCAUGCCGCGUGUGUGAAGAAGGCCUUCGGUUGUAAG